GAUGAAGAACGUAGCGAAAUGCGAUAAGUAGUGUGAAUUGCAGAAUUCAGUGAAUCAUCGAAUCUUUGAACGCACAUUGCGCCCCUUGGUAUCCCGAGGGGCAUGCCUGUUCGAGCGUCAUUUCACCACUCAAGCCUGGCUUGGUGUUGGGCGACGUCCCCUUUGGGGACGCGCCUCGAAACGCUCGGCGGCGUGGCACCGGCUUUAAGCGUAGCAGAAUCUUUCGCUUUGGAAGUCGGGGCCCCGUCUGCCGGAAGAGCUACUCGCAAGGUUGACCUCGGAUCAGGCAGGGAUACCCGCUGAACUUAAGCAUAUCAAUAAGCGGAGGA
This 329-nucleotide unclassified non-coding RNA is filed under the name soil metagenome. RNAcentral's name for it is "partial contains 5.8S ribosomal RNA, internal transcribed spacer 2, and large subunit ribosomal RNA". The stretch from base 1 to 120 matches the Rfam family "5.8S ribosomal RNA", at positions 35 to 154 of the family's 154-position model. The record is from RNAcentral.